GUCUCCGUAGCUCAGCUGGACAGAGCACAGGUUUCCUAAAUUCCACAAUUGGGCGCCGCGAUGGGAAACCGCGCGGCGGAUCCGCUCAAAUUCGGGGAAAGCUUCCGGCGCCGCGGCGCCCUGCCGAUCCCGAGCCAAGCCCAGGUCCCGCACGGAGCUUGGGAAGGUGUAGAGACUAGACGGGCGGCACCUAAAGGCCUCGCUCGGGCCCAGGGUGAAGGGAUAGUCCAGGCCACGAACGCGCGGACUGCGCGGCGGCGAAAGCCGAAGUGGUAUGAAACCUGGGGUCGCAGGUUCGAGCCCUGCCGGGGACGCCA
Molecule: transfer RNA, 317 nt
Filed under: Methylorubrum rhodesianum
Lineage: Bacteria; Pseudomonadati; Pseudomonadota; Alphaproteobacteria; Hyphomicrobiales; Methylobacteriaceae
Description: tRNA-Arg
Source: RNAcentral